ACUAUAUUUGUUAUUUACUCUUAUUUACUCCAACGCAAGGAAAUAAAUAACUGAAAAUUUGGAACGCCGUCACUGCAUGAUUGCUGAGUAAACCUUUGUUUUCACAUAGCAAUAUUCCUUGUGUAGCAGGUGAGACAGAUUGCUCCUGAAAUACAAUGAAGUUUUUCUUUUCUUCUCCGUUCCCUUUUCAAAUGUGUAGACUUAAAAAUAUCUAACUCAUUAGCAAAAUGAGUUUAUUUUAAUUACACAGUUGAGACUUCUUAUAGCUCCAUCAGUCGUAUUUCUCCAUCUGGUUUAUUAUCUUAUUUCAUAUCAAGUUUCUGUGACUUUUCCUAUCACCAGAGUCAAAUUUUCUAAUCUGUAACUCCUCUUUUUCUUGGUAAUUAAUGUUGGCUUUCUUGAAUUCAGAAGGGUCCUCCCUGUCUCCAAGGAUCUACCAUAAAUCCUACCCAUGAACAACUUCCGCUGUUUUAUUCAAGAUGUUUCUCUGUAACUUGUCAUCUAUGCUGUCUCAAAUUCUGGAGCUUAUCUUUUAACAACCAUACUGUUUUACCAGAACCCUUAAACAAGCAUGCAUUAUAGCAUCAUUGGUUGCAUCUAAUGCUUCAGGAAAACUAUAUUUCCACUCCUUACAAUGAUGUUCUUCCCAGAAAUUUUCCUAGGUUUCAUUUUUUUUUUAAUGCUCCUUUAGAAGUGAACUCACAGGUUCCAUCUAUCGCUUUAGUUUUCUGUUGAAAAAAACUCACGUUCUUUGAUAUUUGGUACAAUUUUUCUUUUCCUGACUGUCAUAAUUUCUCAGUCUAAUGUUGUUCUCCUCAAAUAUUCCACAUCCCCCUGGACUAUUUUGUGUUGGCCAUGUUCAUACAAGUCAACUGUUUCCAAUCCUACUUUAUGGACACAGAACAUUUCCUUCCUUCAUUCCUUGAAAGCUGUUCAUGAAAAUGUUGGAGAUAAACAGCAGGGUCAUCUGAUGAGUCACUGUAUUUGGCACCUACUGCCUGGCUUUUUCUUUGUCCCGAAAAUCUUUGGUAAAACACACUGGCUUAAAGAGGAGGAGCAGGAACCGCUCUGGAAUCAUCAAUGCAACUCCACCACGAACUGACUACUUCUAUUCCUUGACUUGGACUCUGAAAAAAAAAUCCCAGAAUGUUAACCUUCUUUACAUUCUAUGCCAGUCCCAGCCCUCAUAGCAGCUGCUCCCCCAAUUCAAUUUCUAUGUGCUUGUGCAUAUGUCAGCCCUGGCUCUAAUUUCCCAUUUCCCAGGCACCAUCCCUUGAAUGUCUACUUUCAGUUUUCCUCCUACUCAAUUAAACCUUACCCUCAAGAACCCCUGAGCCUUCAACAAUGUCCCAAGCCUGCUGUAUUUCUUUGGAUUACUUCCUUUCUCCUCCCAAACCAGUGGGUGGCUCUCAUCUUAGUCAUCUUUCUUCAAUCCAAUAGCUAGGUCAUAUUUUGCAAGGUCAGCUAUAUCCCUGUGUAGAUCUGUCCUCAGUGUAGAUUCUAGAGUGGUGGUACCUAAACCUGGCUGCUCAUCAGGACCUUAUGGGCAGCCUGGUAAGAUUAAGGGGAGAGAGAAAGAAAUUGAGGGAAAGACAGUGAGCUAGCUAGGUAGCCAGACAGAGAUUUUUAUCAGGUUUAGCUCUAGUUAAUCAAUUUUAAAGCCCAAUAUCAGACUUUUUAUACUCUGAGUCUGAUUGUUAAUUUUGCUCUAUCUCUUUAGAAACAGUAUCUUUUGAAAUAAAAUUUUCAAGCGAAAUGCAUGAUAUAUUUUCUGUAGUUGGAGAUAUCUCUCUACUCUCAUCAGAAAUGAACAUAUGAAAGAUCUUGGAUGGAUAUACUGAAAUGUUCAAUCUUUUCUUUCUCCUCCAGGACAAUGAUAAUCAUUCCACUUUAUUUCUAAAAUUGUCAUUAAAAUAGAGAAAUGGAGGACAGCCUGAUUUAUAUGACUGUGACACCCUCUAUUGGUGUAUUGCCAAUGGAGAUGGCCCGGAGUCUUUGUAAUUUUGAACCAAGGAAAUAAUAAAAAGCCAUGAUAAACAUCUGCUGGCAGGUUCCCAUUGUCAACCCUCUCCUACAACACUUUAUUUGAAAGAAAUAGUCCUUCCAACGUAUGCAGAGCCUAUUUUCCUUGCUGCCUAAUUGUUCUGAGAUGCUGAAAAAUGGUAACUGUGAGAAGGCAUAUCCUGUUGAACAGAGGUCUGAUUGCCUCAAAGACGAGCAACAGUGAAUGAUAUAAAAUAAAAGUUGUGUUUUAUUUCACGUAUUUUGGUACAACUCUUGGUUCUGGAGAAGGUAAAUUGAGUCUUCCUUUUUAAAAAAGUACUUCUUUAGUUUCAAGAAACAAAAGGAAAUUGUAGCAUAAGAGGAAAAAU
RNAcentral lists this long non-coding RNA (2372 nucleotides) under Homo sapiens (human). Its description in RNAcentral is "HSALNT0223504". Lineage: Eukaryota; Metazoa; Chordata; Mammalia; Primates; Hominidae. The record is from RNAcentral.